This 73-nucleotide microRNA precursor is filed under the name Chlorocebus sabaeus (green monkey). RNAcentral's name for it is "miRNA (ENSCSAG00000023477.1)". The record is from RNAcentral. Lineage: Eukaryota; Metazoa; Chordata; Mammalia; Primates; Cercopithecidae.
CACCCGACUCAGCCUCCCAAAGUGCUGGGAUUACAGGCAUGAGCCACUGCUCCCGGCCAUUCUUGGUAUUUUU